Schistosoma mansoni is the source of this 45-nucleotide non-coding RNA. The record is from Rfam. NCBI's taxonomy places the organism in Eukaryota, Metazoa, Platyhelminthes, Trematoda, Strigeidida, Schistosomatidae.
AUCCAGUUGACGAGUCCAAAACAGGGCAAAACGCGCAUCCUGGAU